GGAGCAGACCCGGCUCUGUCGCCGCUGGAGCAGCUGCGGCUCGGGGACCCACAGACACAGCCGGGGUCGGGAGCCGCCCGGGGCAGGGCUCGGGAGAGCUGGUGAGUUCCCCGGCGGCGCCGCCUCCCUCCUUGCCCUCUGCGGCUUCGCGGGGCGGGGGAUGAGGAUGGGGCGGGGAGGUGGUCCCAGCCUCCGAUCACCUAAGCUGGGGGCCAGGGCGCUUUGGCCAAGGGACGGUAGCUUAAGAUAUAAAUGGGAGUGUGGGGACUCUGGAAAGGCAGGUACCGAGGGCGCUGGAUCCGGGAGCCGGGAGGAGCGCCCCCGAGCGCCGAGGAUGGGCAGAGACGUGCAGCGCCCCAGAGAGGUCGCCCAGAGGGGUCUCGCCAAGGUCACCCGGAGUGCCCAGACUGAGCUGCCCAGACCGCCCCGGGUGGAGAGCGGGGAGGGGCAGGCGCUCGCUGCCCGCCUCCUUCCCCCAUGCAGACUCCCUUCCUCCGCUCCCCCUCCCCGGCCUGGCCUCCAGCUUCACUGGAGAUGCUGAUGAUGCAGCUCCCAGCCCUUGGUGGAUAAUUGAGCCUGGGAGAGCUUUGAAUCUGGCCCUCUCGAGACCCCAGGGCUGUGCCGCUGCCGCGCGACAGGCCUGGGUCCCGGUGCUCCCGGGCACCUCAGGAGCGGAGGGAGAGGGAUGUGGCUUCAUCAGCGCUUCUAGGAACGGAAAACCGAGCUGCCUGCGCGCCCAUGUGAUUGCACUUCACAUAAAGGGCCCCUGUUCUCACUGUCAGAAGCGCCCCCCAGCUCUCCGCGGCUCGGGGCACCAGGUGUCGCCUCUGAAUCACCCUCUGUGGAGGACCCGGGGCCCGGAGGUACCAGGCGCCCUUUCCCGCAGGGCUCUCCCUGGAAAGGGCCUGCCGAUGGCGGCCUCAGUCCGCAGGGGUACUUCCCUGUGUACUCUGCCAUUUCCUGCGGCUGGUGAAGCACUGGAGAAAAACCCUCCAUCUAGGAGGCCUCCUCCAAGGCUGGUAAUAAAGCUUCUUAGCUCAGCCAGCGACUAGCUCUCUACUCGUGGGCAAAGUACUUGGCCUCUGGAGUCUCAACUGCCUCUAAGAAACUGGGGCUAACAGCCGCCAGGCUGUGGGGAGAUGAGGGAGAGGCUGGGUGCAGCAGAGCCGGAGGAUGAACACUCCUUGGCCAAUACUGGCCGCCCUCGGGAUUGGCUAUGAGUGGGGCGUGUCUCUCUUAGACAGGUGCAGAAGUGGAGCCCUGGUGGGUGGUUCUGCAGGGGCUGGGGGAGUUUCCACAUCUUCCUCCCCCAGCUCUGUCAUAAAAAGCCAGCUUGCAGGAGGCCGGUGGGGGCCAGCAAAUCUUUCCAGCCGGCUGCCUGCUCACACGGCCCUUCCCACACAAAUCUCCCAUGCCCUUCUCUCCCACCUGUCACCCAAAUCCAAUCUUCCUGGCUGAGUCCCCAGGAUGCUGGGGGCAAGGUGUCAACCAGGCCACCCUGGACCAUCAACUCUGUACCUACUUGUCUACUGGGGUCUACCUAACAGUGUCCCCCUGUCCUGGAACCUUCCUGGCCCCAGCUCUUCCCAGCCUCUGGAAUGUCUUCUUUCCUUUCUUUUGGUCUCCUACCACCGUGGCAUUCAUUAGUGGCUCUGUGGUUCAUGUGUCAAGGGCCCCGUGCCAUCUGUGCUCUCCAGAUAAUCCGUGGCCUGGAAAGAUGUGGUAGGCAAGGCCCUGUGCCCACUCAGACUUUGCUCUCUCUGGUAAUUGACGGUGGAGCGGAAGUUAAAUUCUAAUCUGGCUGUUAAGUCAUUUCAGGAGCUUGAGCCACAGGACUAAGAGGAUGCUGACGUAGGGAGGUGGUUUUUCCUUAAAGCCAGAACCUUUCUCCUUUCUGCAGAGCCCAUUUGAGACCAUUGGAAACUAGGCCUAUGUGUAAUGGCCUCACAGAAUCCUCACAACCCCAUGAAGUAGGCAUUACUGAUUCCCAUUUUGCAGAUGGGAAAACUGGGGCUCAGCUCCUCUCAAAACCAGCUCCAUGCCCCAAGAGGAGCAACAGAGGCUGCAGCCAACCUGGUUUAGCAGAAGGCAGGAGGCACAUACCUGAAUUCAGGUGCCGUGUUUGGACUCUCAGGACCCCAUCCCUCCAACCUUUCCCUCCCCUUUUGCAACCUAACCACCACCCUUCCUGCACCCAGGACACUUGUCACAUUUGUUGAACAGUAGGUCCCAACUGGCACUCUUCCAGCAGAGACCAGGAAAACUGUCUUGAGUGCAUCUUAGCAACUGGGCUUCAAGGAGGGCUUGGACAAGCCUGCCUCUUACAGAAAGCUAUGAGUAUGAAGAGUGAGGGAGCCAGAGAUGUCUAAUUUUAAUUAGGGAUCUAUACCUAAAAGCUCCGUGACCCUGUAUACAUGACUUAAUCUCUCUGAGCAUGGUUUUCUCAUUUGUAAAACAGGUAUCAUAGUAAUGCCUACUUUGUGGGAUUGUAAGGAUUCCAUGAGACCAUUAACACAUAGAAAGUGCUCAGUACUAGGGCCGGGUGUAGUGGCUCACACCUGUAAUCCCAGCAUUUUGGGAGGCCAAGGCGGGAGGAUCACUAGAUGUCAGGAGUUCGAGACCAGCCGGCCAACAUGGUGAAACCCUGUCCCCACUAAAAAUACAAAAAUUAGCUCAGCAUGGUGGCGCAUGCCUGUAGUCCUAGCUACUUGGGAGGCUGAGGCACAAGAAUUGCUUGAACCCGGGAGGAGGAGGUUGCAAUGAGCCGAGAUCACACGACUGCCCUCCAGCCUGGGUGACAGACUGAGACUUCAUCUCAAAAAAAAAAAAAAAAAAAAAAA
Macaca fascicularis (crab-eating macaque) is the source of this 2840-nucleotide long non-coding RNA. NCBI's taxonomy places the organism in Eukaryota, Metazoa, Chordata, Mammalia, Primates, Cercopithecidae. The record is from Ensembl.